GAUGAACGCUGGCGGCGUGCCUAAUACAUGCAAGUCGAGCGAACAGAUAAGGAGCCUGCUCCUUUGACGUUAGCGGCGGACGGGUGAGUAACACGUGGGUAACCUACCUAUAAGACUGGGAUAACUUCGGGAAACCGGAGCUAAUACCGGAUAACAUUUGGAACCGCAUGGUUCUAAAGUGAAAGAUGGUUUUGCUAUCACUUAUAGAUGGACCCGCGCCGUAUUAGCUAGUUGGUAAGGUAACGGCUUACCAAGGCGACGAUACGUAGCCGACCUGAGAGGGUGAUCGGCCACACUGGAACUGAGACACGGUCCAGACUCCUACGGGAGGCAGCAGUAGGGAAUCUUCCGCAAUGGGCGAAAGCCUGACGGAGCAACGCCGCGUGAGUGAUGAAGGGUUUCGGCUCGUAAAACUCUGUUAUUAGGGAAGAACAAACGUGUAAGUAACUAUGCACGUCUUGACGGUACCUAAUCAGAAAGCCACGGCUAACUACGUGCCAGCAGCCGCGGUAAUACGUAGGCGGCAAGCGUUAUCCGGAAUUAUUGGGCGUAAAGCGCGCGUAGGCGGUUUCUUAAGUCUGAUGUGAAAGCCCACGGCUCAACCGUGGAGGGUCAUUGGAAACUGGGAAACUUGAGUGCAGAAGAGGAAAGUGGAAUUCCAUGUGUAGCGGUGAAAUGCGCAGAGAUAUGGAGGAACACCAGUGGCGAAGGCGACUUUCUGGUCUGUAACUGACGCUGAUGUGCGAAAGCGUGGGGAUCAAACAGGAUUAGAUACCCUGGUAGUCCACGCCGUAAACGAUGAGUGCUAAGUGUUAGGGGGUUUCCGCCCCUUAGUGCUGCAGCUAACGCAUUAAGCACUCCGCCUGGGGAGUACGACCGCAAGGUUGAAACUCAAAGGAAUUGACGGGGACCCGCACAAGCGGUGGAGCAUGUGGUUUAAUUCGAAGCAACGCGAAGAACCUUACCAAAUCUUGACAUCCUUUGAAAACUCUAGAGAUAGAGCCUUCCCCUUCGGGGGACAAAGUGACAGGUGGUGCAUGGUUGUCGUCAGCUCGUGUCGUGAGAUGUUGGGUUAAGUCCCGCAACGAGCGCAACCCUUAAGCUUAGUUGCCAUCAUUAAGUUGGGCACUCUAGGUUGACUGCCGGUGACAAACCGGAGGAAGGUGGGGAUGACGUCAAAUCAUCAUGCCCCUUAUGAUUUGGGCUACACACGUGCUACAAUGGACAAUACAAAGGGCAGCUAAACCGCGAGGUCAUGCAAAUCCCAUAAAGUUGUUCUCAGUUCGGAUUGUAGUCUGCAACUCGACUACAUGAAGCUGGAAUCGCUAGUAAUCGUAGAUCAGCAUGCUACGGUGAAUACGUUCCCGGGUCU
RNAcentral lists this ribosomal RNA (1372 nucleotides) under uncultured bacterium. Its description in RNAcentral is "bacterial SSU rRNA". It matches the Rfam family "Bacterial small subunit ribosomal RNA", at positions 28 to 1381 of the family's 1533-position model. The record is from RNAcentral.